This 253-nucleotide ribosomal RNA is filed under the name uncultured bacterium. RNAcentral describes it as "partial 16S ribosomal RNA". It matches the Rfam family "Bacterial small subunit ribosomal RNA", at positions 524 to 776 of the family's 1533-position model. The record is from RNAcentral.
UACAGAGGGUGCGAACGUUGCUCGGAAUUACUGGGCGUAAAGCGCAUGUAGGCGGGGCGGCAAGUCAGAUGUGAAAUCCCCGGGCUCAACCCGGGAACUGCAUCUGAAACUGCUGGUCUUGAGUACUGGAGAGGGUGGCGGAAUUCCUGGUGUAGAGGUGAAAUUCGUAGAUAUCAGGAGGAACACCGGUGGCGAAGGCGGCCACCUGGACAGUAACUGACGCUGAGAUGCGAAAGCGUGGGGAGCAAACAGG